This is an RNA transcript of Ruditapes philippinarum (Manila clam), 2881 nucleotides long. RefSeq lists it as uncharacterized. The record is from RefSeq and is a predicted model, not a curated record. Lineage: Eukaryota; Metazoa; Mollusca; Bivalvia; Venerida; Veneridae. The transcript is spliced from 7 exons.
AUGAUCUAAUUUAGUCGUUUAUAUUUCAAUAAUCAUUUGUUAAAAUAUGCCAUAUGCAUAUGGAUCUGAUUUUCCUUUUUAUGUCGGUGCGUCAUUAGCGUUAACCAAUAAAUUAACGACACGUGUGUAGCUAACAUAUUAAAGUUUCGAAAUAAAACUUUUAUUUAAAGACACUUGUUAAUAGUUUUAGAGUAACUUUGGUCAGAUAUGGACUACAGAAUAAGAGAAAUUAACAUAAUCCUAAAGUGUGGCUGUGGGAUAGUUUGCAAAUUUAUUUGCAUAUUGAUGGUGUUAAGAGAACAGAAAUAUGGUACGAACUUGAAAUACUCAAAUUUAUAUGAUGCGCUCAUGAUUGAACAUGAUGCGUUUCCGAUUGGACGUGAUGCGCAUACGGAUGAACAUUAUGCGCAUACGGUAUUAACUACACUCAGCAUUGGCAUUGAUAUUGUAGUUCCACUCGUAAUACACCUGCAAGACUCUAACACCAGGUAUCAAAGGGACAGAAUCACAUCAGGCGCAAUAGGAUUAAACUCACUUGGAUCAGCGUUGAAGAUUAUUGCAACCCUUGGAGAGAUCAUGAGGAAAAACGAUAUACCUCAAUUUUGCUGCGCAUGUGCACUAUUGGAACUAGCCUUUACCGCUGGGAUGGGAAUCUAUCACUUUAUCCUAGAUGAGUUCAAUAGAUGGUAGGAAGAAGAAGAGAGGAGCAAAAAAAAUCAGCUUUAACAAUAGACAAUGAACAUUGUACUCUAAAAUAUGAAAACUUUCAAUUCAAAGAUGUUUAAAUAAUACAGCAUAGAAACAACUCUGUAAAAAGGACACAACUCUCUGCGCAAACUAUCAUCAAAACAAUAUGAUCGGAAAUAUUUUCUUGAAAUACUGUACACCUAAGUGUAAAACACAUUUUUAUUUUUCUCAACGAACACCUAAGAUAAGGGAAGACAAAUAAGAUCAAAAGUUUUAAUCGAAAUAUUUCUUUUAUUAAUUUUCGCCUUAUAACAAGCUUGAUUUUAUAAGUAUUUCCCGAUGGUUUUGUAGAUUUAUGAAUAUUAAAUUUGAAUUUGUUACUAAAUCCAUUAAAUUGGGGAUGGGAAAGUGGUCAAAUUUAGUACGUGCGUGAAAACAAUUCUAUGUAUCUAAAAUGAUCGCUUCUCUCUUCUUCAUAUCACUUUAUGUGUGGUAAACAUGGACUUACGUAUAUCUUAUAUACUCCAACUUACUAAUUCUUCAAUCAUGCAUACUUUUAUUUCAAAUACUGAUAACAUAUAGCAUAAAAUGAUAACAACUGCAUGAUUGACAUCAUAAUAACAAAAAUUAGUGACUAAAAGGGAAAAAAAUGUCAGGAGUUCCUUCCCCUUACAUUGCGUUAUGGUUUGAUUGAAAAAAGAAAAAGAAGUCUUACAAUCAGAAAAGCGACCCACAUGUUUUGUUUUGCCUGGAAUUGUUGCUCCUUUUGUAAAUUGCUGUUGUUGUUUUUUUCUGCUUUAAUUUUGUUCGAUCAAUUUGUAUUUGCAAAACAUAAUGUGCAAAAUCAUACAUUUAAUAUUGAGAAUUAUGACGAUUAUAUGGUUUAUUGUAGUGUAACUUAGUUUCUUUUGUUUCAUUUAUGCUUGGCAUCGGAAUUAACCAUACGCCCGAGAUACAUCACCGUCCUUACCGGCCACGUUGGGGACGUCUAUUUCACGCUGCCGAUCUGUAAGAUGUUCUGCGUUUGAAGACACCAAUCUAGCCAAGCAGGUAUAUUUGGUACCGAAUUGAAGUACACGAUGCCUACUGGAUUUAGUAUGGUCUGUGAUGUAGCUGCUCUCGUUAUACUAAAAGAUCGAAAAAUCUCUGGUGCCAUAGGAUUGAUCUUUAUUGGAUCCGUUUGGAAUGUUUAUGCAACGUUUGGACUGAUCACUGAAACAGGAUAUAUAUCUAUGUUUUGCUUCAUGGAGCUUGCUUUUGCUCUUAUAAUGGGAUACUAUCACUGUUUUCUACACGUGGAAACGAAUAAAACCUCGUAGGAAGAAGAACAAUACAUUCAACCUUAAAGGGACUCCACUGAGGUUUUUUGACAUGAUGGGACUGAGACAAUUUUUUCCAGAUAAAUAUAGCAUUUGAUGUAGGUUUAGACCACUAAUCUUUGUGCAAAAUUUCAGAUCAUUCGCGCACUUCGUUUUUCCAGAAUUACUAUUCAAAUUGUAAACAAAAUGAACCAAAAUGAAAAGCGUUUAAACGCUUUUCACUCAAAUCGGGCUAAGAAAAACAUAAAAAUAAGGUUUUCAAUUUAUUUCAAAAUAUAUUUCUUAACUAUCUUUGGAUAUAUUUCUGCUUAAAGUGCCCCAGCUGAUUUUUGUAAACAAUUCAAAUGUUAUGUUGUUAGGCUUUUAAACCUCAGUGGAGUCCCUUUAAAAAUAUACAAUGGUCAAAGUACUUAAAACGUUCUUCUAAAAGAGGUUUAAAUGACAACACUAUAAAAGGGACACAACUCUUCGUGAUCUAUCAAAACAAUUAGAUCCGAACUAUUUUCUUGAAAUACUGUGCACACAUUGAUUAUUUUUCUCAACGGACACUAAGAUAUGGGAAGACAAAUUAUAUCAAAAGUCUUAUCUAAAUUAAUGUUCUUAUCAAAUAUAUUAAAAACCGGACAUGAACCUGUUUAACAGAUACAUAUGUGUGGUUGUUUCCGGUUAUAUACAAACGAGGGAUAAAAUUAACAUGUACUUGUGGAUAUACAGGACAAUAUUGUUUGUUUAGUUUUUGUAACCCGUAUAAAAACAUAAAUUUUCCUCAGUUUCACGUCCGUUGUUUUUACACAGCCAAACUUCCAACAACAAACAUUAUAAAAGACUCGAUCAAAUACAUUGAACUAUAUGAACUGGCUACUGUCGACGGAAUU